This 220-nucleotide long non-coding RNA is filed under the name Elaeis guineensis (African oil palm). RNAcentral's name for it is "long non-coding RNA (EGUI_LNC042723)". Lineage: Eukaryota; Viridiplantae; Streptophyta; Magnoliopsida; Arecales; Arecaceae. The record is from RNAcentral.
UUAUCACUGUCCAACAGUGAUCAGAGCAACAAGGUGGUGGCCAUAACUUCAUAAAAGAAAAAAUAAAAGCCUAAUUGGUUUAUAAAUUAUUAAAGCCUAAAGACUUAGAUUUUAGUCUAAAGGUUCUUCUACUAUUUUAUACGAAGUGAUAGCCUCUACCUCUAAUUCAAGAAAUUAUCUUAAUUUUUUAGUAGGUACUAGACUCCACACAGACUGCAUA